This 70-nucleotide transfer RNA is filed under the name Bos taurus (domestic cattle). It matches the Rfam family "tRNA". From Rfam's summary of the family: Transfer RNA (tRNA) molecules are approximately 80 nucleotides in length. Their secondary structure includes four short double-helical elements and three loops (D, anti-codon, and T loops). RNAcentral also lists the same sequence under 3 other names. The record is from Rfam by way of RNAcentral. Lineage: Eukaryota; Metazoa; Chordata; Mammalia; Artiodactyla; Bovidae.
UCCUGGUGGCUCAGAUGGUAAAGAAGCUGCCUGCAGUGCAGGAGACCCAGGUUCGAUCCUGGAUUAGGAA